Non-coding RNA from Cinara cedri, 690 nucleotides. Lineage: Eukaryota; Metazoa; Arthropoda; Insecta; Hemiptera; Aphididae. The record is from the annotation of a GenBank genome assembly.
AGAAAAAAAAAGUUAUUUUCACUACGAGGGACGACCCGAAAGGUCGACACGCGCACAUCGCUUUAUCCCCUUUUGAUUUAUAUUAUUUAUCGUAUUAUUUUCAGAUCUCUCCGUGUUUCUCUACAUCCGAAUAUCCUCGUCUUAUAUAUUUUUAAGCCCGUCCCUCAACUCUCGGUCCGCUAUAACCAUUGUUUGUGCGGCCACACAAUAACCGGAUUAUGGCGUGUGCAACGGUUCUUAUAAUACAAUAUCGGCGUGUACGGACGAGACGGAAACCAAAGACCGAACAGACACUUGCGGGGAUUGUUUCGAAACGUCGAAAAUAGUUUUCAAAUAAUAAAUAUACGAGUCGGUGUUAUAUGUAUACGGCCGUGUAUAAUACCGAUGAUGCGCGUCGCUGACAAACGUACGGCCGAACGAAUGUAUAUUCUGUUAAGAAAAGAAAACGGAGAGUGAGGAGAGGAAGGAGGAGAAAUGACAAUGUAAACACAUCACAUCCCUUAGUAAACACCGGUUACACGUGUUGUGUUAAAUAAACGCUAUAAAUCCGUCCUAAAUGCCUACUUGUUGAAGUCAUGUAUGUUUAGGUAGAUACCUAUUAUCGAACGUAUAUAAUAUUAUAACCUAUAAAGAUAAACACGCGUCAGAGUAUAGAGUAAUAAUUAUUGUUCGUUCUGAUAACACUGAGUC